Molecule: long non-coding RNA, 666 nt
Organism: Rhinopithecus roxellana (golden snub-nosed monkey)
Lineage: Eukaryota; Metazoa; Chordata; Mammalia; Primates; Cercopithecidae
Exons: 2
Source: RefSeq, a predicted model, not a curated record
CAACAACAAAGAUUGAGGAUGAAGACCCUUAUGAUGGUCCACUUCCACUUAAUGAACAGCUGGAACCAUCGAAGUCCUUAGAUCAGCUUUAAGCACUGGAUGGAGUAAAAACCACGAGGGACUACAAGGUGAUCUGUGAACAGACUGGCAGACAGAUGACGAGAGGGAGUGACAACAAAAAUAGACAAACAAAAAGAAUGGUCUUCUGGUGACCUAAAUUACUUGCUUAUUAAAAUUUAUUAGAAAUAAACAAACAUUAAUGAAAUAAAAAUCUAAAACUGAGCCCCAGACUCAAGACUAUUAGAAAGGCUCACCAAGUGAAACCCUGGGCUGGGUCAAGUGAGCUCUGUUUUGUACAACCUGCUGCAGUUUGUUCCCCUUGAGCAAGGUGAUGCUUUGUCCUGGGCUGCAAUUUCUAACACCAUCACCAUCCCCAAGUGCAGCUCCUAUUCUAAAAAAAAAAAACAGAUGCCCCCACCCCCAAUUUCUGGUGAACUGCCAAUCUCUCCUGACUGCAGAAACUGACUCUGAAGGAGGAAGUUGCACCAGUGGUGGAGGUAGGUGGGCAAGCGGGUCGGGCAGGGAUGGUUUCCUGGAGAAUCCAUUCGGAUCUUUUCUCCAGAUGCCUAGCAUGUGCUUAAGAGUUUUUUUUUUUUUUUUAAAGUU